Molecule: long non-coding RNA, 202 nt
Filed under: Lathyrus oleraceus (garden pea)
Lineage: Eukaryota; Viridiplantae; Streptophyta; Magnoliopsida; Fabales; Fabaceae
Description: Pisum sativum (pea) long non-coding RNA (PSAT_LNC003398)
Source: RNAcentral
UUAACAUGCAUGAAAUGAAAAUGAAUGAACGCAUAUGUUAGGGAUGAAAUGAAAAUAAUUAUGCAACAUCCAUAGAUUCAAAACCUUGGUGGUAUAGCAACCUAAGUUCCAAGCUCCAACAUAUGUACAUCAAUGCAGUAUCAUGGGUUAACAACAUAAAUAGUCUGGAUAAUCUGCGUAUACUACCUGAUGCAGGAUCAAA